Molecule: transfer RNA, 82 nt
Filed under: Imhoffiella purpurea
Lineage: Bacteria; Pseudomonadati; Pseudomonadota; Gammaproteobacteria; Chromatiales; Chromatiaceae
Rfam family: tRNA
About the family: Transfer RNA (tRNA) molecules are approximately 80 nucleotides in length. Their secondary structure includes four short double-helical elements and three loops (D, anti-codon, and T loops). Further hydrogen bonds mediate the characteristic L-shaped molecular structure. tRNAs have two regions of fundamental functional importance: the anti-codon, which is responsible for specific mRNA codon recognition, and the 3' end, to which the tRNAs corresponding amino acid is attached (by aminoacyl-tRNA synthetases). tRNAs cope with the degeneracy of the genetic code in two manners: having more than one tRNA (with a specific anti-codon) for a particular amino acid; and 'wobble' base-pairing, i.e. permitting non-standard base-pairing at the 3rd anti-codon position.
Source: Rfam by way of RNAcentral
GCCCGGGUGGCGAAAUUGGUAGACGCAAGGGACUUAAAAUCCCUCGACUUCGGUUGUGCGGGUUCGAGUCCCGCCCCGGGCA